This is a long non-coding RNA of Ostrinia nubilalis (European corn borer), 193 nucleotides long. RefSeq lists it as uncharacterized. The transcript is spliced from 3 exons. NCBI's taxonomy places the organism in Eukaryota, Metazoa, Arthropoda, Insecta, Lepidoptera, Crambidae. The record is from RefSeq and is a predicted model, not a curated record.
AGAUCCCAAGGACGAUACUAGCCAACCAGGAACCAGCUCUGGGAAGCAGUGCGGCGUCUCCAAGCAAGCAGCUCCCAAGGACGAUGCUAGCAAGCCAGGACCCAGCCAUCGGCGGCAGAGCAGCAUCAUCGCCUGGCAACCAGGUCCCAGAGGCGAUGCGAUUCAAGCUGGACCCAGCCAUGGGCAAAGCGGC